Molecule: small nuclear RNA, 159 nt
Filed under: Pogona vitticeps (central bearded dragon)
Lineage: Eukaryota; Metazoa; Chordata; Lepidosauria; Squamata; Agamidae
Description: U1 spliceosomal RNA (ENSPVIG00000019200.1)
Rfam family: U1 spliceosomal RNA
About the family: U1 is a small nuclear RNA (snRNA) component of the spliceosome (involved in pre-mRNA splicing).
Source: Rfam by way of RNAcentral
ACUCAUACUUUGCAGAUACCAUGUCAUAAGAGUGGUUUUCCCAGGGGGCAGCUCAUCCAUUGUACUUUGGGUAUGCUGCUGAUCCCUGUGAUUUCCCCAAAUGUGGGGAACUCAACUGCAUAAUUUGUGUUAAUGGGAGAUUGCACUUGUGAUUUCCCU